UCCGAGAUGAUGAACUCCGGGGUCUGAGAU
RNAcentral lists this non-coding RNA (30 nucleotides) under Homo sapiens (human). The record is from RNAcentral. Lineage: Eukaryota; Metazoa; Chordata; Mammalia; Primates; Hominidae.